RNAcentral lists this ribosomal RNA (484 nucleotides) under uncultured bacterium. RNAcentral's name for it is "partial 16S ribosomal RNA". It matches the Rfam family "Bacterial small subunit ribosomal RNA", at positions 28 to 507 of the family's 1533-position model. The record is from RNAcentral.
AUUGAACGCUGGCGGCAUGCUUUACACAUGCAAGUCGAACGGCAGCGCGGGCUUCGGCCUGGCGGCGAGUGGCGAACGGGUGAGUAAUGCAUCGGAACGUGCCCAGUAGUGGGGGAUAGCCCGGCGAAAGCCGGAUUAAUACCGCAUACGACCUGAGGGUGAAAGCGGGGGACCGAAAGGCCUCGCGCUAUUGGAGCGGCCGAUGUCGGAUUAGCUAGUUGGUGGGGUAAAGGCUUACCAAGGCGACGAUCCGUAGCUGGUCUGAGAGGACGUCCAGCCACACUGGGACUGAGACACGGCCCAGACUCCUACGGGAGGCAGCAGUGGGGAAUUUUGGACAAUGGGGGCAACCCUGAUCCAGCCAUGCCGCGUGCGGGAAGAAGGCCUUCGGGUUGUAAACCGCUUUUGUUCGGGAAGAGAUCCUCUGGGCUAAUACCCCGGGGGGAUGACGGUACCGGAAGAAUAAGCACCGGCUAACUACGUG